GACGAACGCUGGCGGCGUGCCUAAUACAUGCAAGUAGAACGCACAGUUUAUACCGUAGCUUGCUACACCAUAGACUGUGAGUUGCGAACGGGUGAGUAACGCGUAGGUAACCUGCCUGGUAGCGGGGGAUAACUAUUGGAAACGAUAGCUAAUACCGCAUAAUAUUGAUUAUUGCAUGAUAAUUAAUUGAAAGGUGCAAUUGCACCACUACCAGAUGGACCUGCGUUGUAUUAGCUAGUAGGUGAGGUAACGGCUCACCUAGGCGACGAUACAUAGCCGACCUGGGAGGGUGAUCGGCCACACUGGGACUGAGACACGGCCCAGACUCCUACGGGAGGCAGCAGUAGGGAAUCGUCGGCAAUGGACGAAAGUCUGACCGAGCAACGCCGCGUGAGUGAAGAAGGUGUUCGGAUCGUAAAGCUCUGUUGUAAGAGAAGAACGGGUGUGAGAGUGGAAAGUUCACACUGUGACGGUAUCUUACCAGAAAGGGACGGCUAACUACGUG
This 505-nucleotide ribosomal RNA is filed under the name uncultured bacterium. RNAcentral describes it as "partial 16S ribosomal RNA". It matches the Rfam family "Bacterial small subunit ribosomal RNA", at positions 28 to 507 of the family's 1533-position model. The record is from RNAcentral.